AGGUUUCCGUAGGUGAACCUGCGG
RNAcentral lists this non-coding RNA (24 nucleotides) under Drosophila melanogaster (fruit fly). The record is from RNAcentral. Lineage: Eukaryota; Metazoa; Arthropoda; Insecta; Diptera; Drosophilidae. RNAcentral also lists the same sequence under 3 other names.